GAUGAAGAACGCAGCGAAAUGCGAUAAGUAAUGUGAAUUGCAGAAUUCAGUGAAUCAUCGAAUCUUUGAACGCACAUUGCGCCCGCCAGUAUUCUGGCGGGCAUGCCUGUUCGAGCGUCAUUUCAACCAUCAAGCCCUGCUUGCGUUGGGGUCCUGCGGCUGCCCGCAGACCCUGAAAACCAGUGGCGGGCUCGCUAGUCACACCGAGCGCAGUAAUACAUCUCGCUUUGGGCGUGCGGCGGGUUCUUGCCGUUAAACACCCCCUUUUUACCAAGGUUGACCUCGGAUCAGGUAGGAAUACCCGCUGAACUUAAGCAUAUCAAUAAGCGGAGGA
RNAcentral lists this unclassified non-coding RNA (334 nucleotides) under soil metagenome. Its description in RNAcentral is "partial contains 5.8S ribosomal RNA, internal transcribed spacer 2, and large subunit ribosomal RNA". The stretch from base 1 to 120 matches the Rfam family "5.8S ribosomal RNA", at positions 35 to 154 of the family's 154-position model. The record is from RNAcentral.